This 554-nucleotide ribosomal RNA is filed under the name Escherichia coli. RNAcentral describes it as "bacterial SSU rRNA". It matches the Rfam family "Bacterial small subunit ribosomal RNA", at positions 882 to 1436 of the family's 1533-position model. RNAcentral also lists the same sequence under 1 other name. Lineage: Bacteria; Pseudomonadati; Pseudomonadota; Gammaproteobacteria; Enterobacterales; Enterobacteriaceae. The record is from RNAcentral.
ACGGCCGCAAGGUUAAAACUCAAAUGAAUUGACGGGGGCCCGCACAAGCGGUGGAGCAUGUGGUUUAAUUCGAUGCAACGCGAAGAACCUUACCUGGUCUUGACAUCCACGGAAGUUUUCAGAGAUGAGAAUGUGCCUUCGGGAACCGUGAGACAGGUGCUGCAUGGCUGUCGUCAGCUCGUGUUGUGAAAUGUUGGGUUAAGUCCCGCAACGAGCGCAACCCUUAUCCUUUGUUGCCAGCGGUCCGGCCGGGAACUCAAAGGAGACUGCCAGUGAUAAACUGGAGGAAGGUGGGGAUGACGUCAAGUCAUCAUGGCCCUUACGACCAGGGCUACACACGUGCUACAAUGGCGCAUACAAAGAGAAGCGACCUCGCGAGAGCAAGCGGACCUCAUAAAGUGCGUCGUAGUCCGGAUUGGAGUCUGCAACUCGACUCCAUGAAGUCGGAAUCGCUAGUAAUCGUGGAUCAGAAUGCCACGGUGAAUACGUUCCCGGGCCUUGUACACACCGCCCGUCACACCAUGGGAGUGGGUUGCAAAAGAAGUAGGUAGCUU